ACUCGAGUGGCGAACGGGUGAGUAACACGUGGGUGAUCUGCCCUGCACUUCGGGAUAAGCCUGGGAAACUGGGUCUAAUACCGGAUAGGAGCUCCUGCUGCAUGGUGGGGGUUGGAAAGUUUCGGCGGUUGGGGAUGGACUCGCGGCUUAUCAGCUUGUUGGUGGGGUAGUGGCUUACCAAGGCUUUGACGGGUAGCCGGCCUGAGAGGGUGACCGGCCACAUUGGGACUGAGAUACGGCCCAG
This 244-nucleotide ribosomal RNA is filed under the name uncultured Actinomycetales bacterium. RNAcentral describes it as "partial 16S ribosomal RNA". It matches the Rfam family "Bacterial small subunit ribosomal RNA", at positions 89 to 334 of the family's 1533-position model. The record is from RNAcentral. Lineage: Bacteria; Bacillati; Actinomycetota; Actinomycetes; Actinomycetales.